This 244-nucleotide long non-coding RNA is filed under the name Lathyrus oleraceus (garden pea). RNAcentral describes it as "Pisum sativum (pea) long non-coding RNA (PSAT_LNC031744)". Lineage: Eukaryota; Viridiplantae; Streptophyta; Magnoliopsida; Fabales; Fabaceae. The record is from RNAcentral.
CCCAAAAAGAUUUUAAAAAUAAUGAAAAUUGGUUAUUGAAUUAAUUGAAACAAAACAAAGGUCAAACCAAAAGUCAACCAACAAGACUAGGUUAGAAAUAACUCAAGAAUAAAUAGUAAAUUAAUCUCAAAACAAAGGUCAAACCAAAAGUCAACCAACAAGACUAGGUUAGAAAUAACUCAAGAAUAAAUAGUAAAUUAAUCAAGAAAAUUAUGAAAAAUUAAACUAAAUAAGGUGGGGUCAG